GUUCCCUGGAAGAACAGCCAAUGCUGUUGACUUGGUCUUGCCUCACCACCUGUCUUUCCUCAGUCCAUGAGUGUUGCCUUAGCAAAACUCCACGUGCGUCUUUAUCUGACAUCGUUCUAUCGGUCAGAGUCUUUGGAAGAGGCAAGAAGCCGCAGGAAUCUCUCCAUUUAUUUCUCUCUAUGAGUCUUGACCAUUGGAGCUCAACAACGCAUGUAAAGUGAACCAAUACAUGUGUGUCAUUAUCGAA
Molecule: long non-coding RNA, 247 nt
Organism: Mus musculus (house mouse)
Lineage: Eukaryota; Metazoa; Chordata; Mammalia; Rodentia; Muridae
Product: predicted gene, 46281
Exons: 2
Source: RefSeq, a predicted model, not a curated record